This is a non-coding RNA of Callorhinchus milii (elephant shark), 69 nucleotides long. The record is from Ensembl. Lineage: Eukaryota; Metazoa; Chordata; Chondrichthyes; Chimaeriformes; Callorhinchidae.
AAAGUACUAGUAAAUACAUUACAUUAUUUUGUCAAGAUAAAAUUAUGAGUUAAAAUCUCAUGUACUUUA